GUCGGAUGGUUGCUGGGUGGGGCGGGACUACGUAGUGGGGUUGGGUUGGCCGCGAUGCGUGGGCCUGAGGGGCGGGGUGGGGGCGCGGUAAGUCCGCUGUGAAAGUCCAGGGCUCAGCCCUGGGGUGCCGGUGGAUACUGUCGGGCUCGAGUCCGGAAGAGGCGAGUGGAAUUCCUGGUGUAGCGGUGAAAUGCGCAGAUAUCAGGAGGAACACCAAUGGCGAAGGCAGCUCGCUGGGACGUGACUGACGCUGAGACGCGAAAGCGUGGGGAGCAAACAGGAUUAGAUACCCUGGUAGUC
RNAcentral lists this ribosomal RNA (300 nucleotides) under uncultured Ignicoccus sp. RNAcentral's name for it is "bacterial SSU rRNA". The stretch from base 60 to 300 matches the Rfam family "Bacterial small subunit ribosomal RNA", at positions 555 to 795 of the family's 1533-position model. Lineage: Archaea; Thermoproteati; Thermoproteota; Thermoprotei; Desulfurococcales; Desulfurococcaceae. The record is from RNAcentral.